UGCAUGGUUGUCGUCAGCUCGUGUCGUGAGAUGUGGUUAAGUCCCGCAACGAGCGCAACCCUCGACCUUAGUUGCCAGCAUUCAGUUGGGCACUCUAAGGUGACUGCCGGCUAAAAGUCGGAGGAAGGUGGGGAUGACGUCAAAUCAUCAUGCCCCUUAUGACCUGGGCUACACACGUGCUACAAUGGGCGGUACAAAGGGUCGCGAACCCGCGAGGGGGAGCCAAUCCCAAAAAGCCGCUCUCAGUUCGGAUUGCAGGCUGCAACUCGCCUGCAUGAAGCCGGAAUCGCUAGUAAUCGCGGAUCAGCAUGCCGCGGUGAAUACGUUCCCGGGCCUU
This 337-nucleotide ribosomal RNA is filed under the name uncultured Anoxybacillus sp. Its description in RNAcentral is "bacterial SSU rRNA". It matches the Rfam family "Bacterial small subunit ribosomal RNA", at positions 1042 to 1382 of the family's 1533-position model. The record is from RNAcentral. Lineage: Bacteria; Bacillati; Bacillota; Bacilli; Caryophanales; Anoxybacillaceae.